RNAcentral lists this long non-coding RNA (317 nucleotides) under Brassica napus (rape). RNAcentral's name for it is "long non-coding RNA (BNAP_LNC008680)". Lineage: Eukaryota; Viridiplantae; Streptophyta; Magnoliopsida; Brassicales; Brassicaceae. The record is from RNAcentral.
AAGAUCAAGAUUCUACUUAGCUACUCUAGAAUGCACACAAUAAGAUCUAAUUCUCUGAAGGAUGUUAAUUAAUCACCUUAGAAAUUCUAAAUCAAUAAUUCAUCAUUAACAUAUCAAACCCUAAGUCUUACAAUGCAUCUACUCAAACAUUAUAGAUGAAGACAUAAUCAAAGAAAGAAUAGAAAUCAUAUAAAUCAAUAGAAAAACCAAUAGAGUUCCAAGAGGACUCUAAAGGAGUUCAUCUCUUCUCUCCUAAAUAGGAAUGUUGUCAUGGGUAAAAUUACCCGAUCCGACCCGAACCUGAAUUAAACCCGUCC